CUUGGUCAUUUAGAGGAAGUAAAAGUCGUAACAAGGUUUCCGUAGGUGAACCUGCGGAAGGAUCAUUAAUGAAUUUGUCUUUUCCAAGACCCUUUCUAUACCCUUUGUUUACCUUACCACGUUGCUUCCACUGGACAGGUCAAUUCUGACCCUUUGGCUUGUCUUUUUAAGACUUGCUGGGGAGUGCCGGUGGAUGACUCAAACCAAAAACUUAAACCGAAAUUUACUUUGUCUGAAUCAUUUUAUAAAUUAUUAUAAAACUUUCAACAACGGAUCUCUAGGCUCUUGCAUCGAUGAAGAACGCAGUGAAAUGCGAUACGUAAUGUGAAUUGCAGAAUCUCGUGAAUCAUUGAAUCUUUGAACGCACAUUGCGCCUUAUGGUAUUCCAUAAGGCAUGCCUGUCUGAGCGUCAGCUCCCCCCCACUCAAGCUCUUUUGCUUGGAAUCUUAGAAAAGCAGUCUAUCUGCCUUCUAUAAAUUCAUAGGCAGUAUGGUUUCUUCCAGACUCGACGUCAUAAUUCAAAAAAGCGUCUUAUUUGGAGUUAUCGUAUUCGCCUUUAACCCACCCUUUUUUUUUUUACUUGGGUGACCUCAGAUCAGGUAGGGAUACCCGCUGAACUUAAGCAUAUCAAUAAGCGGAGGAAAAGAAACCAACAGGGAUUGCCUUAGUAACGGCGAGUGAAGCGGCAAAAGCUCAGAUUUGAAAUCUGGUGUCAUUUUGGCAUCCGAGUUGUAAUCUGUAGAGGAAUAUUCGAGUGUGGCUUUGGCUUAAGUUCCUUGGAACAGGACGUCAUAGAGGGUGAGAACCCCGUUUACGGCCUUUGUCUUAUGCUCAUGUGAAUCUCCUUCAACGAGUCGAGUUGUUUGGGAAU
RNAcentral lists this small RNA (871 nucleotides) under uncultured Peziza. Its description in RNAcentral is "eukaryotic LSU rRNA". The stretch from base 586 to 871 matches the Rfam family "Eukaryotic large subunit ribosomal RNA", at positions 1 to 281 of the family's 3401-position model. Lineage: Eukaryota; Fungi; Ascomycota; Pezizomycetes; Pezizales; Pezizaceae. The record is from RNAcentral.